RNAcentral lists this ribosomal RNA (468 nucleotides) under uncultured bacterium. Its description in RNAcentral is "partial 16S ribosomal RNA". It matches the Rfam family "Bacterial small subunit ribosomal RNA", at positions 28 to 507 of the family's 1533-position model. The record is from RNAcentral.
GACGAACGCUGGCGGCGUGCUUAACACAUGCAAGUCGAACGGAAAGGCCCUGCUUUUGUGGGGUGCUCGAGUGGCGAACGGGUGAGUAACACGUGAGUAACCUUCCCUUUACUUUGUGAUAACUUCAGGAAACUGGGGCUAAUACCUGCUAGGUGCUCCUGCUGCAUGGUGGGGGUUGGAAAGUUUCGGCGGUUGGGGAUGGACUCGCGGCUUAUCAGCUUGUUGGUGGGGUAGUGGCUUACCAAGGCUUUGACGGGUAGCCGGCCUGAGAGGGUGACCGGCCACAUUGGGACUGAGAUACGGCCCAGACUCCUACGGGAGGCAGCAGUGGGGAAUAUUGCACAAUGGGCGGAAGCCUGAUGCAGCAACGCCGCGUGUGGGAUGAAGGCCUUCGGGUUGUAAACCGCUUUCGCCUGUGACGAAGCGUGAGUGACGGUAAUGGGUAAAGAAGCACCGGCUAACUACGUG